RNAcentral lists this long non-coding RNA (1144 nucleotides) under Gadus morhua (Atlantic cod). RNAcentral describes it as "lncRNA (ENSGMOG00000031556.1)". The record is from RNAcentral. Lineage: Eukaryota; Metazoa; Chordata; Actinopteri; Gadiformes; Gadidae.
GUGGCCAAGGUGUUCCCGGGGACAUGGUAUGUUUCGAAAAGCUCUCACGUGAAUAAAUAGUAUUAAUGAACAAAAACCUUUAUUGAUUAAGCAUAACCUCAUUUUAUAUUUAGUCGACCGAGUUGGAGUACAGGAUAUAAGAGUAUAAUGCAAGCUGUCAGCCGCCACCAUAAGCUCUCCUCUGUUCCAGUGAAGUAUGCCCUCUCUUCGGGUUCAUACACCUUGUUGUAAAUUAUAUUAAAGGUCUCCACACAAUCCCACCUUUUUGGUCGUAAAUCCAUCUGAGGUGUGUUGUGUUCAUAAACAUCCUCAGACAGCACAGCAACUCCCACUUCCCCUCAUUGAUGUUAUUCCCACAAAUAUAAUUGAAUCACAGUAAUAAACACAAUCAAAGCAGAACAGACACUGUUUUGUAUUGCUCUCAUCAAAAAGAAGUACCGGAUGGCUCUACUGAAUUUACCGAUACCAGAGAAUGAACAAUGAGGCUUUUCUUUUCAGGGCCCUCCUGGAAACACAGGGUCCAAGGGCCAGAGGGGAGAGAGGGUGAGUGGAACCACUAGCCUCUUCUGACCUCACAAACAUGUCCGCCAACACCAACCACCCUGACGCCCGCUGACAACCGUACGGUAGAAGCCGUUGAGUCCACACGCUGGUUGACCCUCGACCCUCUCUGCCUCGCAGGGCGACCCGGGAUACGUGAUCGGGGGCACGGAGGCCGGCUACGUCCCGGGACGGAAAGGAGAACCCGGUUCCUCUGGCCCCCAGGGGCCUGCGGGGGUGCCGGGGGUGUCUGGAGCCCAAGGCCGGCCGGGACAGGAGGGCCUCGCUGGGCCCCCGGGGACAUCCAUCAAGGUACCGUGGCCCCGGGCGAUCCGGGGUUCCUCGCGCUCCGUCAUGGACACCUUGGAUAAGAUCUUCGAGAUGUUUUAAAUCAUGUAACAUGCGUCCUUCAUUGGAGCACUCCACAUGCUGCUUUGUUUCAUCAUGUAUUCAUGUUCUCACGUCACACAGUCGACUCCACACAGUCUGUUGUUACAGCAAGUCCAACGCCAGGCCCCACUCUUUACACGUCACGGGGCCUUGAACCCGACAGCGUUGCCCUUCUCUGGGGUUGGAUUUGCACGAUGUAUUAUCUUGAACUGAG